RNAcentral lists this ribosomal RNA (1356 nucleotides) under uncultured bacterium. RNAcentral's name for it is "bacterial SSU rRNA". It matches the Rfam family "Bacterial small subunit ribosomal RNA". The record is from RNAcentral.
CUAACAUGCUGACGUCACGGCCCAAUUCACCCAUAUAGAGAGCUCCCAUUAAUUGGGGGAUAGCCCGGCGAAAGCCGGAUUAAUACCGCAUACGACCUGAGGGUGAAAGGGGGGGAUCGCAAGACCUCUCGCUAUUGGAGCGGCCGAUGUCAGAUUAGCUAGUUGGUGGGGUAAAGGCCUACCAAGGCAACGAUCUGUAGUUGGUCUGAGAGGACGACCAGCCACACUGGGACUGAGACACGGCCCAGACUCCUACGGGAGGCAGCAGUGGGGAAUUUUGGACAAUGGGCGCAAGCCUGAUCCAGCAAUGCCGCGUGCAGGAAGAAGGCCUUCGGGUUGUAAACUGCUUUUGUCAGGGAAGAAAUCUUCUGGGUUAAUACCCCGGGAGGAUGACGGUACCUGAAGAAUAAGCACCGGCUAACUACGUGCCAGCAGCCGCGGUAAUACGUAGGGUGCGAGCGUUAAUCGGAAUUACUGGGCGUAAAGCGUGCGCAGGCGGCUUUUGCAAGACAGAAGGUGAAAUCCCCGGGGCUCAACCUGGGGAACUGCCUUUGUGACUGCAAGGCUAGAGUACGGCAGAGGGGGAUGGAAUUCCGCGUGUAGCAGUGAAAUGCGUAGAUAUGCGGAGGAACACCAAUGGCGAAGGCAAUCCCCUGGGCCUGUACUGACGCUCAUGCACGAAAGCGUGGGGAGCAGACAGGAUUAGAUACCCUGGUAGUCCACGCCCUAAACGAUGUCAACUGGUUGUUGGACGGCUUGCUGUUCAGUAACGAAGCUAACGCGUGAAGUUGACCGCCUGGGGAGUACGGCCGCAAGGUUGAAACUCAAAGGAAUUGACGGGGACCCCGCACAAGCGGUGGAUGAUGUGGUUUAAUUCGAUGCAACGCGAAAAACCUUACCUACCCUUGACAUGCCAGGAAUCUUGCAGAGAUGUGAGAGUGCUCGAAAGAGAACCUGGACACAGGUGCUGCAUGGCCGUCGUCAGCUCGUGUCGUGAGAUGUUGGGUUAAGUCCCGCAACGAGCGCAACCCUUGUCAUCAGUUGCUACGAAAGGGCACUCUGAUGAGACUGCCGGUGACAAACCGGAGGAAGGUGGGGAUGACGUCAGGUCCUCAUGGCCCUUAUGGGUAGGGCUACACACGUCAUACAAUGGCCGGUACAGAGGGCUGCCAACCCGCGAGGGGGAGCCAAUCCCAGAAAACCGGUCGUAGUCCGGAUCGCAGUCUGCAACUCGAUCUGCGUGAAGUCGGAAUCGCUAGUAAUCGCGGAUCAAGCUUGCCGUAGUGUUAGGAGAGCUCUAUGGAUAUAUGUUCAAGCAUACUGCAUGUCAACCGCCAUUGGGAGCUGUCUCCAUAC